Molecule: ribosomal RNA, 700 nt
Filed under: uncultured bacterium
Lineage: Bacteria
Description: bacterial SSU rRNA
Rfam family: Bacterial small subunit ribosomal RNA
Source: RNAcentral
GCAGUCGACGAUGAAGGGAAGCUUGCUUCUUGGAUUAGUGGCGAACGGGUGAGUAACACGUGAGUAACCUGCCCUUGACUCUGGGAUAAGCACUGGAAACGGUGUCUAAUACCGGAUACGAACUUCCACCGCAUGGUGAGGAGUUGGAAAGAAUUUUGGUCAAGGAUGGACUCGCGGCCUAUCAGCUAGUUGGUGAGGUAAUGGCUCACCAAGGCGACGACGGGUAGCCGGCCUGAGAGGGUGACCGGCCACACUGGGACUGAGACACGGCCCAGACUCCUACGGGAGGCAGCAGUGGGGAAUAUUGCACAAUGGGCGCAAGCCUGAUGCAGCAACGCCGCGUGAGGGACGAAGGCCUUCGGGUUGUAAACCUCUUUUAGUAGGGAAGAAGCGUAAAAGUGACGGUACCUGCAGAAAAAGCACCGGCUAACUACGUGCCAGCAGCCGCGGUAAUACGUAGGAUGCAAGCGUUAUCCGGAAUUAUUGGGCGUAAAGAGCUCGUAGGCGGUUUGUCGCGUCUGCUGUGAAAACUGGGGGCUCAACCCCCAGCCUGCAGUGGGUACGGGCAGACUAGAGUGCGGUAGGGGAGAUUGGAAUUCCUGGUGUAGCGGUGGAAUGCGCAGAUAUCAGGAGGAACACCAAUGGCGAAGGCAGAUCUCUGGGCCGUAACUGACGCUGAGGAGCGAAAGCAUGGGGAGCG